This 88-nucleotide transfer RNA is filed under the name Thermoplasmata archaeon M11B2D. RNAcentral describes it as "tRNA-Ser". It matches the Rfam family "tRNA". Rfam says of the family: Transfer RNA (tRNA) molecules are approximately 80 nucleotides in length. Their secondary structure includes four short double-helical elements and three loops (D, anti-codon, and T loops). RNAcentral also lists the same sequence under 1 other name. Lineage: Archaea; Methanobacteriati; Thermoplasmatota; Thermoplasmata. The record is from RNAcentral.
GGAAGCGUGGUAGAGUGGUUAAUACAAUGGAUUGCUAAUCCAUGAACCUGUAUGGGUUCCGACGGUUCGAAUCCGUCCGCUUCCGCCA